RNAcentral lists this ribosomal RNA (305 nucleotides) under uncultured bacterium. RNAcentral describes it as "bacterial SSU rRNA". It matches the Rfam family "Bacterial small subunit ribosomal RNA", at positions 335 to 655 of the family's 1533-position model. The record is from RNAcentral.
UUGCCUACGGGAGGCAGCAGUGGGGAAUAUUGGGCAAUGGACGCAAGUCUGACCCAGCAACGCCGCGUGAAGGAAGAAGGCUUUCGGGUUGUAAACUUCUUUUAAGGGGGAAGAGCAGAAGACGGUACCUGACUAAGAAGCCCCGGCUAACUACGUGCCAGCAGCCGCGGUAAUACGUAGGGGGCGAGCGUUAUCCGGAUUCACUGGGUGUAAAGGGAGCGUAGACGGCCAAGCAAGCCAGGGGUGAAAGCCCGGGGCCCAACCCCGGGACUGCCCUUGGAACUGCUUGGCUGGAGUGCGGGAGG